Molecule: long non-coding RNA, 752 nt
Organism: Panicum virgatum (switchgrass)
Lineage: Eukaryota; Viridiplantae; Streptophyta; Magnoliopsida; Poales; Poaceae
Exons: 3
Source: RefSeq, a predicted model, not a curated record
GCAUUUCGCCCUAGGGCCUCGAAUUCCUGGAGACGGCCCUGGAGGAUUCAGUGGAGGGAGCACGGGAGCUGCAACCCCCUAUGUUUUGCGCUGUAUUUCCUUCAGGAUUCAGCGGGGAGGUCAAAUAGAGGAGGCAUGUGAGCGCCACAUCAACGACCUAAUCGACCUCUAUGAUGGCUUCUAGUGACCAGGGUUUAACAUAAAACUCAGACGGUGACAAGAGAAAGAGGGAGGAAGCUUGGUAUCAUGGUAGCAAAGCUAAGUGCCAAGAUUGAGUUAAGCAAAACCUGGUGGCUUGUUGUUGUUCGCUGUCCAUUGCUUGCUGAUCAAAGAAUCAUGGAAGGGUCAUUCUAGUUGAAUCCCAAUGCCAGUCUUUCAUACCUAACAUUUGCAGAUAAGUCAUUGAAAAAACAAGUAUGCGAGACUAUAGGCGAUUUUUCUAAUGGCUAUGCUUAUUUUUGAAGUUUCAUAUGUGGGUACGUUGAUCAUAUCCUACCAGUUUUGCGGUCAUCGUCAUUGGGAGACCCUUCCGAUACACUUUUGAUCCUUAGCACUUAACAGUAUCAGGGAAUCGGCAUGUAUCCACUUGCUCUUGCCAAAAUGGUAUUUCCAAUUCAACUGUAACUCUGUUGCCAACCCAAAAAGUUUGUUUGCAACUUUAUUAACCUUUUGUUAUUUUGGGAUUUUUUUUUCAAGAUGGGUGGCAUCUUUUGUUAUUGAUGAAGAUAAACCCAAAUCUUUACAUUGUUCCA